Molecule: transfer RNA, 73 nt
Filed under: Canis lupus familiaris (dog)
Lineage: Eukaryota; Metazoa; Chordata; Mammalia; Carnivora; Canidae
Also listed under: 1 other name
Rfam family: tRNA
About the family: Transfer RNA (tRNA) molecules are approximately 80 nucleotides in length. Their secondary structure includes four short double-helical elements and three loops (D, anti-codon, and T loops). Further hydrogen bonds mediate the characteristic L-shaped molecular structure. tRNAs have two regions of fundamental functional importance: the anti-codon, which is responsible for specific mRNA codon recognition, and the 3' end, to which the tRNAs corresponding amino acid is attached (by aminoacyl-tRNA synthetases). tRNAs cope with the degeneracy of the genetic code in two manners: having more than one tRNA (with a specific anti-codon) for a particular amino acid; and 'wobble' base-pairing, i.e. permitting non-standard base-pairing at the 3rd anti-codon position.
Source: Rfam by way of RNAcentral
GCCUGACUGGUUCAGUCAGUAGAGCACCUGACUCUUGAUCUCAGGAUUGUGAGUUCAAAUCCCACAUUAGGUG